This 426-nucleotide ribosomal RNA is filed under the name uncultured Stenotrophomonas sp. Its description in RNAcentral is "bacterial SSU rRNA". It matches the Rfam family "Bacterial small subunit ribosomal RNA", at positions 356 to 774 of the family's 1533-position model. Lineage: Bacteria; Pseudomonadati; Pseudomonadota; Gammaproteobacteria; Lysobacterales; Lysobacteraceae. The record is from RNAcentral.
GGGGAAUAUUGGACAAUGGGCGCAAGCCUGAUCCAGCCAUACCGCGUGGGUGAAGGAGGCAUUCGGGUUGUAAAGCCUUUUUGUUGGGAAAGAGAAGCAAUCGAUUAAUACUCGGUUGUUCUGACGGUACCCAAAGAAUAAGCACCGGCUAACUUCGUGCCAGCAGCCGCGGUAAUACGAAGGGUGCAAGCGUUACUCGGAAUUACUGGGCGUAAAGCGUGCGUAGGUGGUUGUUUAAGUCUGUUGUGAAAGCCCUGGGCUCAACCUGGGAAUUGCAGUGGAUACUGGGCAACUAGAGUGUGGUAGAGGGUAGUGGAAUUCCCGGUGUAGCAGUGAAAUGCGUAGAGAUCGGGAGGAACAUCCAUGGCGAAGGCAGCUACCUGGACCAACACUGACACUGAGGCACGAAAGCGUGGGGAGCAAACA